CAACAAAUUGAAGAAGAUGCUAAAAACCAUGCCAAGACGAUAUUGGAAUUAAAAGCAGCCAUCAAUUGUUUUCAAACAAAGGACAUGGCUGAACUCAUUAAGUUCCAACAACAUAUGGAAGCCAUUCUUGAAGUUCUAACCGAUGAAAAUCAGGUGUAGGUGCUUGCAAAGUUUGAAGAUUUCCCUAUCAAGAAAUUGGAAACAAUAAGGGCAGCUGCAGCAUUGUACUCUAAAUCAAACUUGGUUGUUUCCAACUUAAAGAAUUGGGAAGUGAAAUCACCUGCUGCACAACUGUUGAACAAAUUUGAUUGCUAUUUCACCAAGGUCGAUUUUGCUCCCAUGCAUUUUUCAUUUUUCUUUUGUAUUAUAUGAUUUUCCAAUUAAAUGGAUUUUUUUCUUUAAAAAAAUAAACGAUAAAACAAUAUCAAUAUUUUU
Gossypium arboreum is the source of this 435-nucleotide RNA transcript. RefSeq lists it as uncharacterized. NCBI's taxonomy places the organism in Eukaryota, Viridiplantae, Streptophyta, Magnoliopsida, Malvales, Malvaceae. The transcript has 2 exons. The record is from RefSeq and is a predicted model, not a curated record.